AGCAGUCGCCGCGGUAAUACGAAGGGUGCAAGCGUUAAUCGGAAUUACUGGGCGUAAAGCGUGCGUAGGCGGUGAGUUAAGUCUGCUGUGAAAUCCCCGGGCUCAACCUGGGAAUGGCAGUGGAUACUGGCUCGCUAGAGUGUGUCAGAGGAUGGUGGAAUUCCCGGUGUAGCGGUGAAAUGCGUAGAGAUCGGGAGGAACAUCAGUGGCGAAGGCGGCCAUCUGGGACAACACUGACGCUGAGGCACGAAAGCGUGGGGAGCAAACAGGAUUAGAUACCCCGGUAGUCCCUGUCUCUUAUAC
Molecule: ribosomal RNA, 303 nt
Filed under: uncultured bacterium
Lineage: Bacteria
Description: partial 16S ribosomal RNA
Rfam family: Bacterial small subunit ribosomal RNA
Source: RNAcentral